AAAUAAAGCGGCAAGUGUGCCUCUCUAUUUUGUGUUUGUUUUUUGUUUUCCCAAAUACCUCUUUUUAAUUUCCCUACUGCCGCCACUGUAGUCCCACCCCCUUCUUCUUCCCCAUUUCUCCUCAUUGUGAUCUUCAUCCAAUCAUCCUCCAUAAUCCAAAAUUUGCACCCAUGAUAGAUCAUUUCUCUAUCACACACAUACACAUAAUCCAAAAUGUUUAAUUUUUUUCAAAAUCUUUUCUAUUUAACAACAUAAAGAGAUUAAAUUUGUAAUGCUGUGCGUUUUAAGAUUCAACACCACUUCUACUUUGGUACAAAUUUGUGGUAUGUAACGUUAUCUCUAGUGCAAUUUUUCUGGUGCGUUUCUAGAAAUCUCCUUUCCUUCCAUUUAUUAGGCAUUGUAAAUUUGGGUUUCUCCUCACGAUAUAUUGUGUUUAUGUAGUAGUGGUAUCUUAUUUAAUAUUUUUUUUGGUAAUUAAAUGAUUUUAUUUACCAGUAUCAAUAUGCACAAACAACAAUGCAACUUGAGCCUAGACAGUCCCUAGGCUCAGACAACUCUAUCUACUUAACAUCCUCACAAUUCUAAGGAUAAAAGUUCAGUUCUUCAAUCUUCUUUUGCUAAUCUAGUCUGCAUUAAUCCUCUACUUAUCACCUCUUGAUAUUGUGUCUAAUUAGCACUUCAGUCUGUUGUUGUUGCCCUUGAAAGACUCUCAUAUUACUUUCUCUCCAUAAAUUGUAUACAACACAAGUAUUUGAAAGGUAAUUCACCUUUGGAAAAUCCCACAACAUGCAUCAUCUCCUGUUGUACUUCAUGUGGCACACCUCCAAAGUAGAUGGAACUCUUAGCAACAUUUGCUUUAAGUCCAGAUGCUUUGGAGAAUUCUGUGAAGCAUUUAUACACCAUUUGCACAGAUACAGUGUCUCCCCUAUAUAAUAAUAACAAGUCAUCCGCAAAUUCUAGCUGUAUAAUGUUCAAUUUGUCACAUCUUGGAUGAAAAUUAAAGUUAGGAUCAUUCCUCAAUGUUUUCAAUCUUCUAGUAAGGUAUUCCAUACCAAGCACAAACAUAAUAAGGAGACAAUGGAUCACCUUGUCUCAAUCCUUUCCUAAUUUGGAAUGGCUCAGCAGGUUUCCCAUUUAUAAGAAUUGAAUAUGACACAGUGCUCACACACAUCAUUAUCCAUUUAACAAACUUCUCAGUCAUAUUCAGGCUAGUUAAGACUUGUUCAAGAAAUACCCAUUCAAUGGAAUCAUAAGCUUUCUGCAGGUCUAACUUCAUCAUGCAUCUGGGUAAGAUCAUUUUUCUUCCAUACCCCUGUACUAAUUCAUGACUUAGAAUUAUAUUGUCAGCAAUAACUCUUCCUGGCACGAAUCCUGGCUGGCUAUUAUCAACUAACUGGUCCAUUACCUCUUGCAGUCUAGUAGUCAGUAUCUUAGAGAUAAUUUUUACAGAACUGUACAACAGGAUAUAGGCCUGAACUCUCUAAUGGUUGAGGGGUGGUGUACCUUAGGUAUAAAAGUGACUGUAGUCACAUUGAUGGGUCAAUACAUUUUUCCUGUGUUAAAGAACCGCAGGACUGCCUCUGUGAUCUCCCGUCCUGUGAUAGCCCAUGUUUUCUUAAAAAAUAAUGAAUUGAAUCCAUCACACCCUGGAGCUUUUAAAUCAUCUAUGUGCAUUGUAUACCUCCUCUACACUUACAGGCUCUAUGAGUUUCAUCUGUUGGCAUCUAUUAAGCACCCUCCCUUCUUUCAUAGUACUCGGUUGAAUGGCUAUCAUGGCUGCUGCAGAUGAGCCAAGCAAUUCUUUGUAAAAUACCACCGCUUCACUUUCAAUUGCACCCAUUGUUUGAACUAUUUCUCCCGCAAGAGUCAUCAGACUCCUAAUCUUAUUUUGACUAACUCUAUUCUUCAUAUUGGCAAAGAAGAAAGCAGAGUUUGAGUGUCCCAAUUUUAACCGCUGAUUUCUGGAUUUUUGUUUGAAAAUACUUUCUUCAAUAUUGACCCAUUUCUCCAGUUGCUUCUUCAGUUACUUCUCCUCUUCAAACAAGUUUGAUUGUAAGUAGUUAGAUCUCAUUUUCUCUUGUAUCUCCUUUAGUUGGUGUCUGGCCUGCUUCACUUUUGCAUCAAUUGUUGCAAACUCAGUAAUGUUUAGCUUCUUUAAUUCUCUUCUUACUUCUUUCAGUUUUCUCCAUACUCCAGGCAUUUGAGUUAUUUUUUGUCUUUCCCAUAGCCUUGCAACUAUUGUUAGGAAUUCUUUAUGUUCUGCCAGAUGGUUGAAGAACCUGAAAGGCCUAGAGUUAUGUGGUUCAUCUCCAAAUUUGACACAUAGGGGAGAGUGAUAUGAGAAAUAAAGAUCCAUAAUCAUAGCAUCCAAUUGUGGCAUAUUGGUUACCCAUUCAGAGUUAACUAUUGCCCUAUCUAUUCUGUUAAAGACAUGAGAAUUUAUCCAUGCGAAGCUUCUCCCUAUUGUUCUCAUUUCAAACAUCCCUGAAUUUGUCAGGAACUCUUUAAAAUCUCUAAUUUCCCAUCUUGUACUGGAUUCCCAUUACUUCUGUCAUCUACUGAUAAGAUUGUGUUAAAAUCACCCAUACAUAGCCAAGAUCAUUGUUGAGAGUGGCUCCAGCUUAGCAAAUUCACCCAUAAGCUUUUCCUUGUAUCUACUGUGUGGAGUCCAUAUAUAGCUGUAAAAGUGAAUUCCUGUCUGCUAGCAAAUAAUUUUACCUCCCCAUGAAUAUACUGAGGUUUGCACCCUAUCAUAGUAAAUUUUAUUUCAUUAGGAUCCCACACUAUCCAUAUCCUUCCUCUGCCUCCAACUUCAUAGUUUGUACACCAUUUCCACUUAGGGGCUAUCUUAUUUAGAAUCGUACUUGAAUACUUCUCUUGCACUCUAUGUUCUACUAUAGCAAUAAUACUAAUAUUAUUUUCCCUGAUAAACCUCUACAUCUCCUUUUGCUUAUAAGCUUUAUUCAAGCCUCUAACAUUCCAGAUGACCAGCUUCAUAAACUAUUUGGUCUGGUAGUACAACCUCCUCCAGAACCCCACGACUACUCUGCCCUCCUUCCAUUCUGCUAGUGCCAAUACUUGUCUGAUGAGCAUUUGUUCUAGUAAGGGAAGAAAAGCCAUUUCCUAUAACCAAUCUCUCUUCAGCAGCAGUAUGAUUAUUUUUAGCAGCAGAUUUUCCCCUUACUUCCUGCCACCCCUCAUCUUUACGAUUUGCUUGCUUCUGAGCUUGGAUGCUUUCUUUUAUGUCUUGGCUAAUUUCUGAUUUUUUACUGUCCACAAUUAUUUAUGGUCCUUCAUUUCCAGUCACUGAGUUGUUCUGCUCCUUAGGUUUCCAUUCCUGCCUUUGCUUUGGUUGUUUGGCAUGUUGUUGCUGCAUUGCUAUCUUGUUUAGGCAAUUAUGUCCCAGCUGCAAACAUGUGCUACAAUACACAGGUUUCCAAUCGUAGCUAAUUAUUUGCUCAAAUUGUCUUCCAUUUAGAUCUCGCACUGUUAUCUUUGUAGGCAAUGGCCUGGUAAUAUCCAUUUCCACAAGAAUUAUGGCAUAUAUGAGAUCUUCUCCACUUUAGUGGUACAUCCAUUAGCAUAAAUUGGUGUCCCUAGCCCACUUCCAAUUCGACUCAAAGAAUCAACUCCCCAAUAGUUCAAUGGUAAGUUUGGAAGCUUAACCCACAAGGGAAGAGUCUUCAAUACUUCCUCCUUGAAAUCAAAGUCAGGAGCCCAUGCCUUAGUGAUCACUGACUUGCUAUUGAUUGUACUUGGCCCUGAAUAUAACACUUCAUUCCUUUCUUCUAUACUAUCCUUUCUUCUAUACUACUGAACUUAACAACAAAAAAACCUUCAUUGUGAUAGUAUACCUUUGGCUUUGUUACAAAAUUCUACUGGAACACGAUAAAUCUUUCAACAGCUCCAAUACUAGGUGUAUCUCCAACUACGUACAUGAUUACUGCCUUCCUCCAUUUCUCUGUUUCCUUCUCAACUUCAGCUUGCUGUAAUUUAAUUAUUUUUUCCCCAUUGUGUAUCAUUGGAGGUACAUAGGUGAGCCCCAUUCCUCUAGCCGCAUAGGUAUUCCUCGCCACUAGAUUUGCCCAGAAAUUGGAUCCAGUAGUAGGCUUUGUUCCAACUGCUUUAGCUUCUUCACACCCAGUGUCAUCAGUUCCUUUGCAUCCCUUUUUUCCUAUCUCCAAGUCAUGCAUAUUUCCUUUAGGAUUUGCACUCAGUUGUAAUUGCACUCGGCAUUUCCCCCAAUUUCAUAUUAUUUAAUUUAAAUAAUAUGAAAAAGAUUUGAAGAUUUUUUUUUUUUUUUGAGAGUUCAAGUACUCAAAAUUUCACAUCGCUUACUCUGAAUUUUUAUGGUUAUUUGCAGCCAAAGAUGAAUAAAAAAUUUUAUUGUGCAACUUCAAGUAAGUAUUUUUUUUCUUUUACAUGUAUUCAUCUCUCAUUCUAUUAUUUCCUUCACUAAUUAAUACAUAAUUUAUAGUUAAAGUUUUAAUAUAUAUUUUUAUCAUGACAUAAAAAAGUAUGUACUUAAUUAUAACUUUUGUUUUUCACGGGUACAAGAACGUGGAAAUUU
This 4570-nucleotide long non-coding RNA is filed under the name Nicotiana tabacum (common tobacco). Its description in RNAcentral is "long non-coding RNA (NTAB_LNC008170)". Lineage: Eukaryota; Viridiplantae; Streptophyta; Magnoliopsida; Solanales; Solanaceae. The record is from RNAcentral.